RNAcentral lists this ribosomal RNA (253 nucleotides) under uncultured bacterium. Its description in RNAcentral is "partial 16S ribosomal RNA". It matches the Rfam family "Bacterial small subunit ribosomal RNA", at positions 524 to 776 of the family's 1533-position model. The record is from RNAcentral.
UACGUAGGGACCAAGCGUUGUUCGGAUUUACUGGGCGUAAAGGGCGCGUAGGCGGCGUGGUAAGUCACUUGUGAAAUCUCUGAGCUUAACUCAGAACUGCCAAGUGAUACUGCUGUGCUCGAGUGUGGAAGGGGCAAUCGGAAUUCUUGGUGUAGCGGUGAAAUGCGUAGAUAUCAAGAGGAACACCUGAGGUGAAGACGGGUUGCUGGGCCAACACUGACGCUGAGGCGCGAAAGCCAGGGGAGCAAACGGG